Molecule: transfer RNA, 70 nt
Filed under: Dipodomys ordii (Ord's kangaroo rat)
Lineage: Eukaryota; Metazoa; Chordata; Mammalia; Rodentia; Heteromyidae
Rfam family: tRNA
About the family: Transfer RNA (tRNA) molecules are approximately 80 nucleotides in length. Their secondary structure includes four short double-helical elements and three loops (D, anti-codon, and T loops).
Source: Rfam by way of RNAcentral
GGUGGUAGAGCUCAGUGGUAGAGCGCUUGCCUUGCAUGCAUGAGACCCUGGGUUCAAUUCCUCAGCACCA